RNAcentral lists this unclassified non-coding RNA (214 nucleotides) under Hevea brasiliensis (rubber tree). The record is from RNAcentral. Lineage: Eukaryota; Viridiplantae; Streptophyta; Magnoliopsida; Malpighiales; Euphorbiaceae.
AAAGUAUGCAAGCCUCCGAUGAUAUUCGUAAUCUUCCAAUCGACAUCACAUUCUCCCGUCUUGGUGAAUGGCUCGUCGAUCGGAAAAGAAUCCCUGCUGAUUGGCGUAAGCGUUUGGCAGCGUUGAGAGUUCGCAUAUCCAAGGAGUUCUUGUCGCUCCCCAAAGAUACCGAUCCCUAUUUCCAUUCCUUAGACCAUGAAGAUAUUGGUUAUUU